GAUGAACGCUGGCGGCGUGCCUAAUACAUGCAAGUCGAGCGAACAGACGAGGAGCUUGCUCCUCUGACGUUAGCGGCGGACGGGUGAGUAACACGUGGAUAACCUACCUAUAAGACUGGGAUAACUUCGGGAAACCGGAGCUAAUACCGGAUAAUAUAUUGAACCGCAUGGUUCAAUAGUGAAAGACGGUUUUGCUGUCACUUAUAGAUGGAUCCGCGCCGCAUUAGCUAGUUGGUAAGGUAACGGCUUACCAAGGCAACGAUGCGUAGCCGACCUGAGAGGGUGAUCGGCCACACUGGAACUGAGACACGGUCCAGACUCCUACGGGAGGCAGCAGUAGGGAAUCUUCCGCAAUGGGCGAAAGCCUGACGGAGCAACACAGCGUGAGUGAUGAAGGUCUUCGGAUCGUAAAACUCUGUUAUUAGGGAAGAACAAAUGUGUAAGUAACUAUGCACGUCUUGACGGUACCUAAUCAGAAAGCCACGGCUAACUACGUG
Molecule: ribosomal RNA, 497 nt
Filed under: uncultured bacterium
Lineage: Bacteria
Description: partial 16S ribosomal RNA
Rfam family: Bacterial small subunit ribosomal RNA
Source: RNAcentral